UCAAAAAAAGUUCGCUCUCAAUUAUUUCCCUCUAAUUUUUUUGUGCCUAAAUUAAAGCCUUCUUUUCCUAUUAGAGAGAGUAGAUAGCAAAAGUAAAACUGAUGACUAAAACCCUAAACUCUCAAAACAAAGCCAAAGCCGUUCCUGGUAGAAAGGAUCAAUCUAACCAAUUAAAAAAGCAACAAAAAUGGAGAAACUUCUUCGUGCAUAUGGCUCAGAAAAAAAUACUUGUGAAUAUUUUGGUGGUAAAGUAACGGAUGUAAGAAAACAGAAAGCAAUUAGAAUUGAUCAGAAAAGAUGCAAAUGAUUGUGGGGAAGAAGUUAAAAGGGAAACUAAGGAGUAAAUUGAAGAAAUGAAGAAAGAAACGGAUCAUAAGAUAGCAAAGUUGAGUAAACGAUUGAAGAAUUUCAAACAUGGUUGCAACUCAAGGUCGACAAUCAAAUGGUGCAAAUCUAAUCGUAAGUAGCCUAUUUAUAUAUUUUUAAAUUACUAAUCCAGUAAAUCUGUGAGUUUUUUAAAUGUUACUGUAGCUCGUGUAGGAGUGACGGAAGCAUAAAAAUCGAUGGGGGCAUGAGUAAUUAUUUUCUCUUUUAAAUGUAUAUUGAUAUGUUUGAAUAAAGUGAUGUUCCACUAUUUUGAAUGA
Long non-coding RNA from Lycium ferocissimum, 644 nucleotides. RefSeq lists it as uncharacterized. The transcript has 2 exons. NCBI's taxonomy places the organism in Eukaryota, Viridiplantae, Streptophyta, Magnoliopsida, Solanales, Solanaceae. The record is from RefSeq and is a predicted model, not a curated record.